RNAcentral lists this ribosomal RNA (2931 nucleotides) under Escherichia coli. Its description in RNAcentral is "23S ribosomal RNA". It matches the Rfam family "Bacterial large subunit ribosomal RNA". The record is from RNAcentral. Lineage: Bacteria; Pseudomonadati; Pseudomonadota; Gammaproteobacteria; Enterobacterales; Enterobacteriaceae.
GGGUUGUGAGGUUAAGCGACUAAGCGUACACGGUGGAUGCCCUGGCAGUCAGAGGCGAUGAAGGACGUGCUAAUCUGCGAUAAGCGUCGGUAAGGUGAUAUGAACCGUUAUAACCGGCGAUUUCCGAAUGGGGAAACCCAGUGUGAUUCGUCACACUAUCAUUAACUGAAUCCAUAGGUUAAUGAGGCGAACCGGGGGAACUGAAACAUCUAAGUACCCCGAGGAAAAGAAAUCAACCGAGAUUCCCCCAGUAGCGGCGAGCGAACGGGGAGGAGCCCAGAGCCUGAAUCAGUAUGUGUGUUAGUGGAAGCGUCUGGAAAGGCGCGCGAUACAGGGUGACAGCCCCGUACACAAAAAUGCACAUGCUGUGAGCUCGAUGAGUAGGGCGGGACACGUGGUAUCCUGUCUGAAUAUGGGGGGACCAUCCUCCAAGGCUAAAUACUCCUGACUGACCGAUAGUGAACCAGUACCGUGAGGGAAAGGCGAAAAGAACCCCGGCGAGGGGAGUGAAAAAGAACCUGAAACCGUGUACGUACAAGCAGUGGGAGCACGCUUAGGCGUGUGACUGCGUACCUUUUGUAUAAUGGGUCAGCGACUUAUAUUCUGUAGCAAGGUUAACCGAAUAGGGGAGCCGAAGGGAAACCGAGUCUUAACUGGGCGUUAAGUUGCAGGGUAUAGACCCGAAACCCGGUGAUCUAGCCAUGGGCAGGUUGAAGGUUGGGUAACACUAACUGGAGGACCGAACCGACUAAUGUUGAAAAAUUAGCGGAUGACUUGUGGCUGGGGGUGAAAGGCCAAUCAAACCGGGAGAUAGCUGGUUCUCCCCGAAAGCUAUUUAGGUAGCGCCUCGUGAAUUCAUCUCCGGGGGUAGAGCACUGUUUCGGCAAGGGGGUCAUCCCGACUUACCAACCCGAUGCAAACUGCGAAUACCGGAGAAUGUUAUCACGGGAGACACACGGCGGGUGCUAACGUCCGUCGUGAAGAGGGAAACAACCCAGACCGCCAGCUAAGGUCCCAAAGUCAUGGUUAAGUGGGAAACGAUGUGGGAAGGCCCAGACAGCCAGGAUGUUGGCUUAGAAGCAGCCAUCAUUUAAAGAAAGCGUAAUAGCUCACUGGUCGAGUCGGCCUGCGCGGAAGAUGUAACGGGGCUAAACCAUGCACCGAAGCUGCGGCAGCGACGCUUAUGCGUUGUUGGGUAGGGGAGCGUUCUGUAAGCCUGUGAAGGUGUGCUGUGAGGCAUGCUGGAGGUAUCAGAAGUGCGAAUGCUGACAUAAGUAACGAUAAAGCGGGUGAAAAGCCCGCUCGCCGGAAGACCAAGGGUUCCUGUCCAACGUUAAUCGGGGCAGGGUGAGUCGACCCCUAAGGCGAGGCCGAAAGGCGUAGUCGAUGGGAAACAGGUUAAUAUUCCUGUACUUGGUGUUACUGCGAAGGGGGGACGGAGAAGGCUAUGUUGGCCGGGCGACGGUUGUCCCGGUUUAAGCGUGUAGGCUGGUUUUCCAGGCAAAUCCGGAAAAUCAAGGCUGAGGCGUGAUGACGAGGCACUACGGUGCUGAAGCAACAAAUGCCCUGCUUCCAGGAAAAGCCUCUAAGCAUCAGGUAACAUCAAAUCGUACCCCAAACCGACACAGGUGGUCAGGUAGAGAAUACCAAGGCGCUUGAGAGAACUCGGGUGAAGGAACUAGGCAAAAUGGUGCCGUAACUUCGGGAGAAGGCACGCUGAUAUGUAGGUGAAGCGACUUGCUCGUGGAGCUGAAAUCAGUCGAAGAUACCAGCUGGCUGCAACUGUUUAUUAAAAACACAGCACUGUGCAAACACGAAAGUGGACGUAUACGGUGUGACGCCUGCCCGGUGCCGGAAGGUUAAUUGAUGGGGUCAGCGCAAGCGAAGCUCUUGAUCGAAGCCCCGGUAAACGGCGGCCGUAACUAUAACGGUCCUAAGGUAGCGAAAUUCCUUGUCGGGUAAGUUCCGACCUGCACGAAUGGCGUAAUGAUGGCCAGGCUGUCUCCACCCGAGACUCAGUGAAAUUGAACUCGCUGUGAAGAUGCAGUGUACCCGCGGCAAGACGGAAAGACCCCGUGAACCUUUACUAUAGCUUGACACUGAACAUUGAGCCUUGAUGUGUAGGAUAGGUGGGAGGCUUUGAAGUGUGGACGCCAGUCUGCAUGGAGCCGACCUUGAAAUACCACCCUUUAAUGUUUGAUGUUCUAACGUUGACCCGUAAUCCGGGUUGCGGACAGUGUCUGGUGGGUAGUUUGACUGGGGCGGUCUCCUCCUAAAGAGUAACGGAGGAGCACGAAGGUUGGCUAAUCCUGGUCGGACAUCAGGAGGUUAGUGCAAUGGCAUAAGCCAGCUUGACUGCGAGCGUGACGGCGCGAGCAGGUGCGAAAGCAGGUCAUAGUGAUCCGGUGGUUCUGAAUGGAAGGGCCAUCGCUCAACGGAUAAAAGGUACUCCGGGGAUAACAGGCUGAUACCGCCCAAGAGUUCAUAUCGACGGCGGUGUUUGGCACCUCGAUGUCGGCUCAUCACAUCCUGGGGCUGAAGUAGGUCCCAAGGGUAUGGCUGUUCGCCAUUUAAAGUGGUACGCGAGCUGGGUUUAGAACGUCGUGAGACAGUUCGGUCCCUAUCUGCCGUGGGCGCUGGAGAACUGAGGGGGGCUGCUCCUAGUACGAGAGGACCGGAGUGGACGCAUCACUGGUGUUCGGGUUGUCAUGCCAAUGGCACUGCCCGGUAGCUAAAUGCGGAAGAGAUAAGUGCUGAAAGCAUCUAAGCACGAAACUUGCCCCGAGAUGAGUUCUCCCUGACUCCUUGAGAGUCCUGAAGGAACGUUGAAGACGACGACGUUGAUAGGCCGGGUGUGUAAGCGCAGCGAUGCGUUGAGCUAACCGGUACUAAUGAACCGUGAGGCUUAACCUUACAACGCCGAAGGUGUUU